GAUGAACGCUGGCGGCGUGCCUAAUACAUGCAAGUCGAGCGAACGGACGAGAAGCUUGCUUCUCUGAUGUUAGCGGCGGACGGGUGAGUAACACGUGGAUAACCUACCUAUAAGACUGGGAUAACUUCGGGAAACCGGAGCUAAUACCGGAUGAUAUUUUGAACCGCAUGGUUCAAAAGUGAAAGACGGUCUUGCUGUCACUUAUAGAUGGAUCCGCGCUGCAUUAGCUAGUUGUUAAGGUAACGGCUUACCAAGGCAACGAUGCAUAGCCGACCUCAGAGGGUGAUCGGCCACACUGGAACUGGGACACGGUCCAGACUCCUACGGGAGGCAGCAGUAGGGAAUCUUCCGCAAUGGGCGAAAGCCUGACGGAGCAACGCCGCGUGAGUGAUGAAGGUCUUCGGAUCGUAAAACUCUGUUAUUAGGGAAGACAAUAUGUGUAAGUAACUGUGCACAUCUUGACGGUACCUUAUCAGAAAGCCACGGCUAACUACGUG
Molecule: ribosomal RNA, 497 nt
Filed under: uncultured bacterium
Lineage: Bacteria
Description: partial 16S ribosomal RNA
Rfam family: Bacterial small subunit ribosomal RNA
Source: RNAcentral